CCUACGGGAGGCAGCAGUGGGGAAUAUUGGACAAUGGGCGAAAGCCUGAUCCAGCAAUGCCGCGUGAGUGAUGAAGGCCUUAGGGUUGUAAAGCUCUUUUACCCGGGAUGAUAAUGACAGUACCGGGAGAAUAAGCUCCGGCUAACUCCGUGCCAGCAGCCGCGGUAAUACGGAGGGAGCUAGCGUUAUUCGGAAUUACUGGGCGUAAAGCGCACGUUAGGCGGCUUUGUAAGUAAGAGGUGAAAGCCUGGUGCUCAACACCAGAACUGCCUUUUAGACUGCAUCGCUUGAAUCCAGGAGAGGUGAGUGGAAUUCCGAGUGUAGAGGUGAAAAUUCGUAGAUAUUCGGAAGAACACCAGNGNGAG
Molecule: ribosomal RNA, 365 nt
Filed under: uncultured bacterium
Lineage: Bacteria
Description: bacterial SSU rRNA
Rfam family: Bacterial small subunit ribosomal RNA
Source: RNAcentral